This 118-nucleotide ribosomal RNA is filed under the name bacterium. The record is from RNAcentral. RNAcentral also lists the same sequence under 2 other names.
UUCGGCAACUAUAGCACAGGUGUUACACCCGAUCCCAUCUCGAACUCGGCAGUUAAGCCCUGUAGCGCCAAUGGUACUACGCGGGAAACCAGCGUGGGAGAGUAGGUCGUUGCCGGGA